AUAUUAUUAAGGGGAGGAAAAGAAACUAACAAGGAUUCCCCCAGUAACGGCGAGUGAAGCGGGAAGAGCUCAAAUUUAAAAUCCUUCGGUCUAACAGCCGAGGGAGUUGUAAUCUAGAGAGGGUCUCUCAGGGCCAGCCUGGUUAUAAGUCCCUUGAAACAGGGUGUCAAAGAGGGUGAGAACCCCGUCUUAGAACCGGAGCUAAGUCCGUACGAGGAUCUUUCCAAGAGUCGCGUUGCUUGGGAGUGCAGCGCUAAAUGGGUGGUAAAGUUCAUCUAAAGCUAAAUAUUGCCGGGAGACCGAUAGCGCACAAGUA
RNAcentral lists this ribosomal RNA (316 nucleotides) under uncultured eukaryote. RNAcentral's name for it is "partial large subunit ribosomal RNA". It matches the Rfam family "Eukaryotic large subunit ribosomal RNA", at positions 40 to 350 of the family's 3401-position model. The record is from RNAcentral.